This 377-nucleotide ribosomal RNA is filed under the name uncultured bacterium. RNAcentral describes it as "bacterial SSU rRNA". It matches the Rfam family "Bacterial small subunit ribosomal RNA", at positions 521 to 896 of the family's 1533-position model. The record is from RNAcentral.
UAAUACAGAGGGUGCGAGCGUUAAUCGGAAUUACUGGGCGUAAAGCGCACGUAGGCGGCUUGGUAUGUCGGGUGUGAAAUCCCCGGGCUCAACCUGGGAACUGCAUCCGAAACUGCCUUGCUCGAGUAUGGGAGAGGGAAGUGGAAUUUCCGGUGUAGCGGUGAAAUGCGUAGAUAUCGGAAGGAACAUCAGUGGCGAAGGCGACUUCCUGGACCAAUACUGACGCUCAGGUGCGAAAGCGUGGGGAGCAAACAGGAUUAGAUACCCUGGUAGUCCACGCCGUAAACGAUGGGUACUAGGUGCCUGGGGGAGCGACCCUCUGGGUGCCGGCGCUAACGCAGGAAGUACCCCGCCUGGGGAGUACGACCGCAAGGUUG